This 208-nucleotide ribosomal RNA is filed under the name uncultured bacterium. RNAcentral describes it as "partial 16S ribosomal RNA". It matches the Rfam family "Bacterial small subunit ribosomal RNA", at positions 568 to 774 of the family's 1533-position model. The record is from RNAcentral.
CUCGUAGGCGGUUCAGUAAGUCAGGUGUGAAAUCUUUGGGCUUAACCCAAAGCGUGCAUUUGAUACUGCUGUGACUUGAGUUCGGUAGGGGAGUGGGGAAUUCCUAGUGUAGCGGUGAAAUGCGCAGAUAUUAGGAGGAACACCGGUGGCGAAGGCGCCACUCUGGGCCGAAACUGACGCUGAGGAGCGAAAGCGUGGGUAGCAAACA